Molecule: ribosomal RNA, 433 nt
Filed under: uncultured bacterium
Lineage: Bacteria
Description: partial 16S ribosomal RNA
Rfam family: Bacterial small subunit ribosomal RNA
Source: RNAcentral
AACGAACGCUGGCGGCAUGCCUAACACAUGCAAGUCGAACGAGACCUUCGGGUCUAGUGGCGCACGGGUGCGUAACGCGUGGGAACCUGCCCUUAGGUUCGGAAUAACUCCCCGAAAGGGGUGCUAAUACCGGAUAAUGUCUUCGAACCAAAGAUUUAUCGCCUUUGGAUGGGCCCGCGUUGGAUUAGCUAGUUGGUAGGGUAAAAGCCUACCAAGGCGACGAGCCAUAGCUGGUCUGAGAGGAUGAUCAGCCACACUGGGACUGAGACACGGCCCAGACUCCUACGGGAGGCAGCAGUGGGGAAUAUUGGACAAUGGGCGAAAGCCUGAUCCAGCAAUGCCGCGUGAGUGAUGAAGGCCUUAGGGUUGUAAAGCUCUUUUACCCGGGAUGAUAAUGACAGUACCGGGAGAAUAAGCUCCGGCUAACUCCGUG